This 500-nucleotide ribosomal RNA is filed under the name uncultured bacterium. Its description in RNAcentral is "partial 16S ribosomal RNA". It matches the Rfam family "Bacterial small subunit ribosomal RNA", at positions 30 to 523 of the family's 1533-position model. The record is from RNAcentral.
AUUGAACGCUGGCGGCAUGCCUUACACAUGCAAGUCGAACGGCAGCACGGGAGCAAUCCUGGUGGCGAGUGGCGAACGGGUGAGUAAAGUAUCGGAACGCGCCCAGUCGUGGGGGAUAACGUAGCGAAAGUUACGCUAAUACCGCAUACGAUCUAUGGAUGAAAGCGGGGGAUCGCAAGACCUCGCGCGAUUGGAGCGGCCGAUAUCAGAUUAGGUAGUUGGUGGGGUAAAGGCUCACCAAGCCGACGAUCUGUAGCUGGUCUGAGCGGACGACCAGCCACACUGGGACAGGGACACGGCCCAGACUCCUACGGGAGGCAGCAGUGGUGAAUUUUGGACAAUGGGCGCAAGCCUGAUCCAGCCAUGCCGCGUGCAGUAUGAAGGCCUUCGGGUUGUAAACUGCUUUUGUACGGAACGAAAAGGUUUGACUUAAUACGUUGGACUCAUGACGGUACCGUAAGAAUAAGCACCGGCUAACUACGUGCCAGCCGCCGCAGUAA